RNAcentral lists this ribosomal RNA (565 nucleotides) under uncultured archaeon. Its description in RNAcentral is "bacterial SSU rRNA". It matches the Rfam family "Archaeal small subunit ribosomal RNA", at positions 317 to 889 of the family's 1478-position model. The record is from RNAcentral.
GUGAUUCGGGGUGCAGCAGGCGCGAAAACUUUGCAAUAAGCGAAAGCUUGACAGGGCUAUCCCGAGUGCCAUUCGCUGAGGAAGGCUUUUACCCAGUCUAGUAAGCUGGGGGAAUAAGGAGAGGGCAAGUCUGGUGUCAGCCGCCGCGGUAAUACCAGCUCUCCGAGUGGUGUGGAUGUUUAUUGGGCCUAAAGCAUCCGUAGCUGGCUGAGUUAGUCCCCUGUUAAAUCCACCGAAUCAAUCGUUGGAUUGCGGGGGAUACUGCUCGGCUAGGGGACGGGAGAGGCAGACGGUAUUUCCGGGGUAGGGGUGAAAUCCUAUAAUCCCGGGAAGACCACCAGUGGCGAAGGCUGUCUGCUAGAACGCGCCCGACGGUGAGGGAUGAAAGCUGGGGUAGCGAACCGGAUUAGAUACCCGGGUAGUCCCAGCUGUAAACGAUGCAGGCUAGGUGUUUGGGCGGCCACGUGCCGCUCUAGUGCCGCAGGGAAGCUGUUAAGCCUGCCGCCUGGGGAGUACGAUCGCAAGAUUGAAACUUAAAGGAAUUGGCGGGGGAGCACAAUCGAAU